This 1343-nucleotide ribosomal RNA is filed under the name uncultured bacterium. RNAcentral describes it as "bacterial SSU rRNA". It matches the Rfam family "Bacterial small subunit ribosomal RNA", at positions 28 to 1381 of the family's 1533-position model. The record is from RNAcentral.
GAUGAACGCUGGCGGCGUGCUUAACACAUGCAAGUCGAACGGAAAGGCUCCUGCUUGCAGGGGUACUCGAGUGGCGAACGGGUGAGUAACACGUGGGUGAUCUGCCCUGCACUUCGGGAUAAGCCUGGGAAACUGGGUCUAAUACCGGAUAGGACGAUGGUUUGGAUGCCAUUGUGGAAAGUUUUUCGGUGUGGGAUGAGCUCGCGGCCUAUCAGCUUGUUGGUGGGGUAAUGGCCUACCAAGGCGUCGACGGGUAGCCGGCCUGAGAGGGUGUACGGCCACAUUGGGACUGAGAUACGGCCCAGACUCCUACGGGAGGCAGCAGUGGGGAAUAUUGCACAAUGGGCGCAAGCCUGAUGCAGCGACGCCGCGUGGGGGAUGACGGCCUUCGGGUUGUAAACUCCUUUCGCUAGGGGCGAAGCGUUAUGUGACGGUACCUGGAGAAGAAGCACCGGCUAACUACGUGCCAGCAGCCGCGGUAAUACGUAGGGUGCGAGCGUUGUCCGGAAUUACUGGGCGUAAAGAGCUCGUAGGUGGUUUGUCGCGUCGUUUGUGUAAGCCCGCAGCUUAACUGCGGACUGCAGGCGAUACGGGCAUAACUUGAGUGCUGUAGGGGAGACUGGAAUUCCUGGUGUAGCGGUGGAAUGCGCAGAUAUCAGGAGGAACACCGAUGGCGAAGGCAGGUCUCUGGGCAGUAACUGACGCUGAGGAGCGAAAGCAUGGGUAGCGAACAGGAUUAGAUACCCUGGUAGUCCAUGCCGUAAACGGUGGGCGCUAGGUGUGAGUCCCUUCCACGGGGUUCGUGCCGUAGCUAACGCAUUAAGCGCCCCGCCUGGGGAGUACGGCCGCAAGGCUAAAACUCAAAGGAAUUGACGGGGGCCCGCACAAGCGGCGGAGCAUGUGGAUUAAUUCGAUGCAACGCGAAGAACCUUACCUGGGCUUGACAUACACCAGACCGGGCCAGAGAUGGUCUUUCCCUUUGUGGUUGGUGUACAGGUGGUGCAUGGUUGUCGUCAGCUCGUGUCGUGAGAUGUUGGGUUAAGUCCCGCAACGAGCGCAACCCUUGUCUUAUGUUGCCAGCACGUUAUGGUGGGGACUCGUGAGAGACUGCCGGGGUUAACUCGGAGGAAGGUGGGGAUGACGUCAAAUCAUCAUGCCCCUUAUGUCCAGGGCUUCACACAUGCUACAAUGGUCGGUACAACGCGUCUGCGAGCCUGUGAGGGUGAGCUAAUCGCUGUAAAGCCGGUCGUAGUUCGGAUUGGGGUCUGCAACUCGACCCCAUGAAGUCGGAGUCGCUAGUAAUCGCAGAUCAGCAACGCUGCGGUGAAUACGUUCCCGGGCCU